GCAUCGAUGAAGAACGCAGCGAAAUGCGAUACCUGGUGUGAAUUGCAGAAUCCCGCGAACCAUCGAGUCUUUGAACGCAAGUUGCGCCCGAGGCCACUUGGCCGACACGCCAAACACGCUCCCACCCCUCAUCGGGUGGUGGGAUGCGGCAUGUGGCUCCCCGUCUUGCAAGGGGCGGUGGGCCGAAGAUGCGGCUGCCGGCGUAUCGUGCCGGACACAGCGCGUGGUGGGCGACCUCGCUUUACUUACCGCAGUGCAUCCGGCCCAUAGCCGACGUGAUGGCCUUAAGGACCCUAUGAACGGAGCGCAUGACGCUCCGACCGCGACCCCAGGUCAGGCGGGACUACCCGCUGAAUUUAAGCAUAUCAAUAAGCGGAGGA
Molecule: ribosomal RNA, 380 nt
Filed under: uncultured fungus
Lineage: Eukaryota; Fungi
Description: eukaryotic LSU rRNA
Rfam family: 5.8S ribosomal RNA (bases 1-141)
Source: RNAcentral